AAGAAAAUUACAUACAUUUCAAUGAUUUCAGAGCAUUACCUGUUUUCAGUGCUUUUUUGUUUUCUGUUUGUUUCAAGAGAUUUACAUAUAAUUUAAAGUCAUUUAUAAAAUGUGCAAAAUUUGGUUUACAUUGAGCCCACUUUUUCUUAUGUAUAUGGAAUUUUCCUAACAAAAUAAACAACUGCAUAAUAUGUUGUUCUUUACAAUUCAAAUUUUUGUUUUCUGUAUAAAAACAUUACAUCAAAUAUACAAAAUUCUAUCAUACAUUCCAUUUUUCUGUUAAUAUAGAAUUCCAAAUCUUUCCAAAAUAAUCUUGAGUAAAUACAAUAAUAAAAAAAAAAAGAUGUAAAAUAGUUUCUUUUUCUUGACCACAAAAUUCACAGGUAUAUGAAAUAUUAAGCUUAAAUCUUUUCAAAACAUGCUUAGCAGGAUAAAUUCUAUGGUCUCGCGCUUUGUGGCGCCAAUUCCCGCACAGUGACGUCACGCCAGUCGCUCAGGCCUCAGUUCAGUCUAGUCGUGGAGUCGUGUUUUUACCUGGGCGACAGGAAUCAUCAUGCAACACCAGGAGCAUCACAUCAUGUUCAUGGACUUCUGUGAGGACGGACACUGUCUCCUGGAGGACGACGUCAGUAUUUCAGAUGCUUUUUGUUGUUCAGAUCCAUUCAGACUGUAAAGUCAUCCUGAUUCAUGUUUCCAGACCUUUGACUUUUAGUAUGAUUUGCUUUGUAUGAUUGCAGUAUAUAUGUAUUUAAAUAUUAUAUUUAGAGUAUUUAACUUAAUAUUUCAGUAAUUCAACAACACAUUUGUGUGUACGUGGUUCAAUUAUAUAUUUUAAUCAGCCUUAAUUCAAUAAUGUGUUUUCAUCAGCCCUGUAUUAUUGGUUUAAAAUGACGUAAAUAUGAAUAAGUUAUGAAAGUUGUAAUUUUUGGGCAAACUAUUCCUUUAAAAUACACUGGUUAGAGUGAACCUUUUUUUUUUUUUCAGCCAAACCUAAAAUAUUUAUUUGAAUUUAUUUGUAUUUACAUUUAAGAGUUUUUAAUUUAAUAUUUAAUUUCACGGUUCUCUGAUGUCGGUCAAUGAUAUGCAGCGUAACAACUGAAUUAUUUCAUCUUUUUUGUUUUUCAGAAAAUAUUUAAUUUAUUUGUUUCUUUAUUAUUAAUUUAUAUUUUUAUCAUUUAAUUAAUCAAUUAUUAACUUUUCAUCAACCCUGUCCUAUGGGUUUGAAACGGCGUGAGGUUUUUAAAUUAAUAUUUCAAUAACAGUACAUUUGCAAGUUCAUAGUAAAUGACGAGCCGGUAAACAAAGUAUUAAAAACAUUUUUUAGAAAGUGUAAAAUUUAGAAUUUAUUAUUUGUUUAUUUAUUUAUUUAGCAUUUUUAUGAUGUAAUGAAUUCUUCUUUUUUAGAAAGUGUUUAAUUUAGAAUUUAUUUUUAUUUAUUCUUUAUUUAUUUAUUUAGCAUUUUUAUGAUUUAAUCAAUUGUUCUUUUUUAGAAAGUGUUUAAUUUAGAAUUUAUUUUUUAUUUAUUCUUUAUUUAUUUAUUUAGCAUUUUUAUGAUUUAAUCAAUUCUUCUUUUUUUAAAAAGUGUUUAAUUUAGAGUAAUUUUUUAUUUAUUCUUUUUUUAUUUAUUUAGCAUUUUAAUGAUUUAAUCAAUUCUUCAUUUUUAGAAAGUGUUUAAUUUAGGAUUUAUUUUUUAUUUAUUCUUUGUUUAUUUAUUUAGCAUUUUUAUGAUUU
This is a long non-coding RNA of Cyprinus carpio (common carp), 1731 nucleotides long. Lineage: Eukaryota; Metazoa; Chordata; Actinopteri; Cypriniformes; Cyprinidae. The record is from Ensembl.